This 474-nucleotide ribosomal RNA is filed under the name uncultured Erythrobacteraceae bacterium. RNAcentral describes it as "bacterial SSU rRNA". It matches the Rfam family "Bacterial small subunit ribosomal RNA", at positions 907 to 1382 of the family's 1533-position model. Lineage: Bacteria; Pseudomonadati; Pseudomonadota; Alphaproteobacteria; Sphingomonadales; Erythrobacteraceae. The record is from RNAcentral.
AGAAUUGACGGGGCCUGCACAAGCGGUGGAGCAUGUGGUUAAUUCGAAGCAACGCGCAGAACCUUACCAGCCUUUGACAUCCUAGGACGACUUCUGGAGACAGAUUUCUUCCCUUCGGGGACCUAGUGACAGGUGCUGCAUGGCUGUCGUCAGCUCGUGUCGUGAGAUGUUGGGUUAAGUCCCGCAACGAGCGCAACCCUCGUCCUUAGUUGCCAUCAUUAAGUUGGGCACUUUAAGGAAACUGCCGGUGAUAAGCCGGAGGAAGUGGGGAUGACGUCAAGUCCUCAUGGCCCUUACAUCCCGGGCUACACACGUGCUACAAUGGCAGGUACAGAGGGCUGCAAAGCCGCGAGGUAGAGCGAGUCCCAGAAAACCUGUCUCAGUCCGGAUUGAAGUCUGCAACUCGACUUCAUGAAGGCGGAAUCGCUAGUAACCGCGAAUCAGCAGGUCGCGGUGAAUACGUUCCCGGGCCUU